GACGAACCGUGCGAACGUUGUUCGGAUUCACUGGGCUUAAAGGGCGCGUAGGCGGCCGUCCAAGUCGGGGGUGAAAUCUUUCAGCUUAACUGGAAAAUAGCCUCCGAUACUGGGCGGCUGGAGGAGGGUAGGGGCGCGCGGAACUUCCGGUGGAGCGGUGAAAUGCGUAGAUAUCGGAAGGAACGCCGGUGGCGAAAGCGGCGCGCUGGACCCUUUCUGACGCUGAGGCGCGAAAGCCAGGGGAGCAAACGGG
RNAcentral lists this ribosomal RNA (253 nucleotides) under uncultured bacterium. RNAcentral's name for it is "partial 16S ribosomal RNA". It matches the Rfam family "Bacterial small subunit ribosomal RNA", at positions 524 to 776 of the family's 1533-position model. The record is from RNAcentral.